AGAGCUAAGUCACGCACGAGUCUCAUUUUUUUUUUUUUCAGUUCUAAAGAAAAACUGCACUGAUGUCCUGUGGUACUGGGAAGACUGUGGCGGCAAGGCGGCUAUCACACUCCCCUGCCCAACCCCCACUGUGCUCAGGGCUGGUCAGUGAUGCCCAAGCUAAUUUUAGAUCUUGAAGACAAGCCACGGGGAAGAAAGGAUAAUGGGUAGAAAAUGAUCAGGUUCCGUGAGUUCACUUAAGAUGGCUGGAAAGAGGGCAACCAGGAAGGGUAAGAGAAGCCGGUCUUGUCACGUACAGCUAAGACAUGUAAGGCUGGGGCUGGAGCGGAAAGAUCCUGGGCGCUUCUGUACUAGUGAGAGUCCUGCCUUCCUCUGCACACAGACAAGUCCCUGGCUGCUGCAGGCUUCAUGGGCUAAGCUAAGGAAGGAGGCGAGCCCCAAACCACAAGAGCGUCGACAGCCCCACUUCGCUGAAGAAAAUCAUCAGAAACUGAAGAUGGCCGCUGUGGAUUGAGUUCUGUUCAAGGCUGAGACUGAGCUUGAGAGAGUGCCAGGAAGGAACAUCACCUCCCUUCUCCCAGUUUCAACGUUCCGCUCAGUUAGAACAGUGGUCAGAGGAGCAGACCACCCUGCUGCAGGGUCACCAGGCCCGGGCCCCCAGUCUCCCUGCGUCUUAAAGACCAGUCUGCAAUGGACCAGUGGGUGCUUUACUCCGUUUGGCCAAUGCAUCACCAGCUGAGGAACGAGACUCCACUAAGUUUCAACAAAGGCUGGAGGUGGGAGUGCACACCUGUCAUCUCAGCCCUUGGGGACAGACAGGAAGGUCAGGAGUUCGAGGCUAGCACGAGUUACAUAAUGAGAGUUUUUCUCAAAAGUAGAUGAAAUUUAAAAAAAAAAAAA
This is a long non-coding RNA of Peromyscus leucopus (white-footed mouse), 900 nucleotides long. RefSeq lists it as uncharacterized. Lineage: Eukaryota; Metazoa; Chordata; Mammalia; Rodentia; Cricetidae. The record is from RefSeq and is a predicted model, not a curated record. The transcript has 2 exons.